Molecule: long non-coding RNA, 1137 nt
Filed under: Mus spicilegus (steppe mouse)
Lineage: Eukaryota; Metazoa; Chordata; Mammalia; Rodentia; Muridae
Description: lncRNA (ENSMSIG00000025756.1)
Source: RNAcentral
CUGAGGUUCAAAGAGGAAGUAACCUGCCACAGACACAGACUGUGAGGGACAGAUGUGAGAGCUUCUCUGGGGCAGAACCAGAGGCUGGCUUCCACAUUUCUCUAGGCUCAAGUACAGAGAUCAGCUCAGGACCAACAUUACCUUCAGACCCCUUGUUGGAUAUCCAUAUCUUCCCGACUUGCUGCAUGAAGAAGGGGUUUCCCCAGCUGCCUAUGAGAGGCCAGUAGGAAGUGCUGCUGUCCCCGUGUUCAGCCUUGUGUAUCAGGUCUGUGGCUUCUCCAAGGCUCACUGAGGCAAUUGGAAGGAUCCUGAGGUUUUGAAAUUGCUACAGGCUUUGCUUAGGUUGGUAAGCCAGCUGACAAAGUAAAGGCAGGCAUGGGGUGGGUGGUCACCAUGGUCUCUUUUGGCCACAUCUGAUGCCUAGACCCCUCAUUCCUGCUUAUAAGCCCACAGUGCCCACUCCCAUGUGAACAACUAGCUCGUACAUUUCCCCAUUCGGCCGGUGGUGAAAACUGUGCUAUUUUAAGCCCACAUGGAAGUAUGUCUUUUUUUUUUUUUUUUUUUAAAUAAGGACCAUCUGCUACCGGCCCCAGCCCAGAUGAUACAGUUGGAGCCUACCCACAGCAUCCUCUCCCGCCUUCAGACGGUUCCAGGAACGAGAGUGCUACCUUCUGCCUGCUUCACAUCAAAUGCAUCUAUAUUUCUGAGUGCAUCACAGAGAACACCACUGCUCUCCAGUGUCCUCACUUUGGAACUCUCAACUGAACUUCUGGGUUGCACCUCCAGCUCUCUUCACUUUCUGUGAUUUGGGACUGUUCUGUCUGUACAAAUGCAAAUCAUGAGACUCCCCUUGGGGGAGAAGAGAGAGUCACAGAGUCAGACUGUCAUGCCCAGAGAGUGGCUGGCUCCUACCCCCGGAAAUGGGCCUCUUACUGUGACUGCCCUGGGGCCAGCCGAACAGCUGCGUUGGCCGAGCAGGAAGUGGUGAACAGGCUGGACCCUGUUCCAGCACGUUGUGGGGGAAAGAAAGAAAAAAGAAAAAAAAAGUUCCAUCAGAGAAACUGCACGCUAGCUUAGGCCAAGGCUGAUCACUGACCUCCUGUGUGGUACAAUCGAUCUGGACCAACCACUUCCCCC